AUUGAACGCUGGCGGCAGGCCUAACACAUGCAAGUCGAGCGGAUGAGGGGAGCUUGCUCCCUGAUUUAGCGGCGGACGGGUGAGUAAUGCCUAGGAAUCUGCCUGGUAGUGGGGGAUAACGUUCCGAAAGGAACGCUAAUACCGCAUACGUCCUACGGGAGAAAGCAGGGGACCUUCGGGCCUUGCGCUAUCAGAUGAGCCUAGGUCGGAUUAGCUAGUUGGUGAGGUAAUGGCUCACCAAGGCGACGAUCCGUAACUGGUCUGAGAGGAUGAUCAGCCACACUGGAACUGAGACACGGUCCAGACUCCUACGGGAGGCAGCAGUGGGGAAUAUUGGACAAUGGGCGAAAGCCUGAUCCAGCCAUGCCGCGUGUGUGAAGAAGGUCUUCGGAUUGUAAAGCACUUUAAGUUGGGAGGAAGGGCUGCUGGUUAAUACCCUGCAGUUUUGACGUUACCAACAGAAUAAGCACCGGCUAACUUCGUG
This 484-nucleotide ribosomal RNA is filed under the name uncultured bacterium. Its description in RNAcentral is "partial 16S ribosomal RNA". It matches the Rfam family "Bacterial small subunit ribosomal RNA", at positions 30 to 507 of the family's 1533-position model. The record is from RNAcentral.